UUCUCCUACGGGGGGCAGCAGUCGGGAAUAUUGCGCAAUGGAGGAAACUCUGACGCAGUGACGCCGCGUAUAGGAAGAAGGUUUUCGGAUUGUAAACUAUUGUCGUUAGGGAAGAUACAAGACAGUACCUAAGGAGGAAGCCCCGGCUAACUACGUGCCAGCAGCCGCGGUAAUACGUAGGUGGCAAGCGUUGUCCGGAUUUACUGGGUGUAAAGGGCGUGUAGCCGGGCCGGCAAGUCAGAUGUGAAAUCCCAAGGCUCAACCUUGGAACUGCAUUUGAAACUGUUGGUCUUGAGUAUCGGAGG
This 305-nucleotide ribosomal RNA is filed under the name uncultured bacterium. RNAcentral's name for it is "bacterial SSU rRNA". It matches the Rfam family "Bacterial small subunit ribosomal RNA", at positions 334 to 655 of the family's 1533-position model. The record is from RNAcentral.